AGGUAACAGCCCUGUAGUCAAAACUUCGUUCUCUCCUGAGUGGAUCCUGAGUACGGCGGAACACGUGAAAUUCCGUCGGAAUCCGGGAGGACCAUCUCCCAAGGCUAAAUACUCCCUAGUGACCGAUAGUGAACCAGUACCGUGAGGGAAAGGUGAAAAGCACCCCGGAAGGGGAGUGAAAGAGAUCCUGAAACCGUGUGCCUACAAGUAGUCAGAGCCCGUUAACGGGUGAUGGCGUGCCUUUUGUAGAAUGAACCGGCGAGUUACGAUCCCGUGCAAGGUUAAGCAGAAGAUGCGGAGCCGCAGCGAAAGCGAGUCUGAAUAGGGCGCAUGAGUACGUGGUCGUAGACCCGAAACCAGGUGAUCUACCCAUGUCCAGGGUGAAGUUCAGGUAACACUGAAUGGAGGCCCGAACCCACGCACGUUGAAAAGUGCGGGGAUGAGGUGUGGGUAGGGGUGAAAUGCCAAUCGAACCUGGAGAUAGCUGGUUCUCUCCGAAAUAGCUUUAGGGCUAGCCUCAAGGUAAGAGUCUUGGAGGUAGAGCACUGAUUGGACUAGGGGCCCCUACCGGGUUACCGAAUUCAGUCAAACUCCGAAUGCCAAUGACUUAUCCUUGGGAGUCAGACUGCGAGUGAUAAGAUCCGUAGUCGAAAGGGAAACAGCCCAGACCGCCAGCUAAGGUCCCAAAGUAUACGUUAAGUGGAAAAGGAUGUGGAGUUGCUUAGACAACCAGGAUGUUGGCUUAGAAGCAGCCACCAUUUAAAGAGUGCGUAAUAGCUCACUGGUCGAGUGACUCUGCGCCGAAAAUGUACCGGGGCUAAACGUAUCACCGAAGCUGCGGACUGUUCUUCGAACAGUGGUAGGAGAGCGUUCUAAGGGCUGUGAAGCCAGACCGGAAGGACUGGUGGAGCGCUUAGAAGUGAGAAUGCCGGUAUGAGUAGCGAAAGAGGGGUGAGAAUCCCCUCCACCGAAUGCCUAAGGUUUCCUGAGGAAGGCUCGUCCGCUCAGGGUUAGUCGGGACCUAAGCCGAGGCCGAAAGGCGUAGGCGAUGGACAACAGGUUGAUAUUCCUGUACCACCUCCUCACCAUUUGAGCAAUGGGGGGACGCAGGAGGAUAGGGUAAGCGCGGUAUUGGAUAUCCGCGUCCAAGCAGUUAGGCUGGGAAAUAGGCAAAUCCGUUUCCCAUA
This 1187-nucleotide ribosomal RNA is filed under the name Bacillus subtilis. RNAcentral's name for it is "partial 23S ribosomal RNA". It matches the Rfam family "Bacterial large subunit ribosomal RNA", at positions 361 to 1553 of the family's 2925-position model. The record is from RNAcentral. Lineage: Bacteria; Bacillati; Bacillota; Bacilli; Caryophanales; Bacillaceae.